GCCCUGGUGGUCUAGUUGUUAAGAUUCAGCAUUCUCACCGCUAUGGCCUGGGUUCACAUCCCAGUCAGGGAA
Molecule: transfer RNA, 72 nt
Filed under: Equus asinus (donkey)
Lineage: Eukaryota; Metazoa; Chordata; Mammalia; Perissodactyla; Equidae
Also listed under: 1 other name
Rfam family: tRNA
About the family: Transfer RNA (tRNA) molecules are approximately 80 nucleotides in length.
Source: Rfam by way of RNAcentral